UACGGAGGGGGCUAGCGUUAUUCGGAAUUAUUGGGCGUAAAGGGCGCGUAGGCGGCCCGGUAAGUCAAAGGUGAAAUCCCUCGGCUCAACUGAGGAACUGCCUUUGAAACUGUCGGGCUUGAGGCCGGGAGGGGGUAGCGGAAUUCCCAGUGUAGCGGUGAAAUGCGUAGAUAUUGGGAGGAACACCAGUGGCGAAGGCGACUUUCUGGGCUGUAACUGACGCUGAGGCGCGAAAGCGUGGGGAGCAAACAGG
This 253-nucleotide ribosomal RNA is filed under the name uncultured bacterium. RNAcentral's name for it is "partial 16S ribosomal RNA". It matches the Rfam family "Bacterial small subunit ribosomal RNA", at positions 524 to 776 of the family's 1533-position model. The record is from RNAcentral.